UGCUUUGCGGGGGCUGCCGGGGUGUCCAGUACACCAGUGGACCUUUCAUGUGUGCGUUACAGAACAGUAUGACCAACUUAAUUGUGAUGUGGAGGAGGACUGUUAAUAAGUUACGAGAGAGUUAUGAUAUGACCCUCAACUACAUGAUUUGAUCAAUUUACCAUGAGGAUUAAACCCUGUGGGGAUCUUCAUGCACCAUUGACCUCAGUGAGAAUAAGAAGCAGAAGGCUUUUUCAUUUAGCCGGAUAAUGCCCUCCACCUCUCCUUCUCGCCCAGGCUCCUUGGCUGACAAUGUGACACAUCCCAAACAUCCUCCACCACAACCUUCCUCUCCACCCCAUCCCUUCACCUGACACAAGUUCCAUGCCUGGCCAGGGGAUCAAUCCAUGCAGGAAUAUGUGGCACGAAGCAUCCCUCUUUCAAACAGGACCUAGGAUCCCUCAUUAUCACCUACGACUGUCACACAAACCGAAUGUCACCUUCUGCUGUUCAAAAUGAGGUCUUUCCCUUGUGUGACAUAAUGAUGAUGAUCACACUGCCUGUCAAAAAAGUAUUUCUAAAAACACAAGGAAAUAAUGAAGGUUAUUUUUGAUGCUACAGUUACCUAUAUAUUCCUUUGAUUUCCUCAGUGGACAUGAAGACCUGAACUGUGUGUGUGGGGUUGACGUGUAAACUAGAUAUGUAAUUGGUCAUCACCUGCGGUGUCUCAGACGUGGAGGUGACAUGAGUCCUUGUGGUGUUAUACAGACCAAAGGUCAGCUAAUUCUGAGUGCAUCACAGCUCCCUGAAGUCACAUUCAUCAGACACUGUUCUAUGUCUGCACUAGUCCCAUCAGUUGGAUGUCACUCAUUAUAACCUAGGCUACACUGAACAGCCUGCAUGCCCUUCAUGUUAGAUGUCACACAUAUUGUAUGUAUGAUGCACUGUGAAAGGUAGCUGUCAAGGUAGAUAUCAUAGAGAAAAUAUGUUUAAUGC
Molecule: non-coding RNA, 975 nt
Organism: Salmo salar (Atlantic salmon)
Lineage: Eukaryota; Metazoa; Chordata; Actinopteri; Salmoniformes; Salmonidae
Source: RefSeq, a predicted model, not a curated record